RNAcentral lists this unclassified non-coding RNA (320 nucleotides) under uncultured Trichoderma. Its description in RNAcentral is "sequence contains ITS1". The stretch from base 1 to 105 matches the Rfam family "5.8S ribosomal RNA", at positions 50 to 154 of the family's 154-position model. The record is from RNAcentral. Lineage: Eukaryota; Fungi; Ascomycota; Sordariomycetes; Hypocreales; Hypocreaceae.
GAAAUGCGAUAAGUAAUGUGAAUUGCAGAAUUCAGUUAAUCAUCGAAUCUUUGAACGCACAUUGCGCCCGCCAGUACUCUGGCGGGCAUGCCUGUCCGAGCGUCAUUUCAACCCUCGAACCCCUCCGGGGGGUCGGCGUUGGGGAUCGGCCCUCCCUCGCGGGGGAGCCGUCUCCGAAAUACAGUGGCGGUCUCGCCGCAGCCUCUCCUGCGCAGUAGUUUGCACACUCGCACCGGGAGCGCGGCGCGUCCACAGCCGUUAAACACCCAACUUUCUGAAAUGUUGACCUCGGAUCAGGUAGGAUCACCCGCUGAACUUAA